AAGGGGAAGAAGAAGGAAGAAGGAAGAAAGAAGAAGGAAGAAGAAAGAAGAACAAGAACAAGAAGAAGAACAAGAAGAACAAGAACAAGAAGAACAAGAAAGAGGAGGAGGAGGAUACUGGAGGUUAAACUAGUUGGCUCAAUGAUGCUUUUUAAUGAUCAGUUGGAAGGAGAUUCAGAAGACUUCUGGUACUAUGCUGCCAUUUUAGCUCUGUCCCCAAAAGGUAAUGUUUUGUUUUUGUUUUUUUUUUAAAGAGAAAGAGAAUAUGUACACUUGAAACAGAAAAAUACACAGAGAUUUAAAAUCAGGGACCAGAGCAGAAUCUAACAUGUUUCAGUUGAAGUAAAAAAGAAGGCAGAGGUAAUAAUCAUUAUCUUAGACAAAGCAAAAGAAAUAUUUUUAAGGUACUCUUAGAGUAUUGAAGGAAGGUCAGAAGGAAACACACAAGAAGAACCAUUUUGAAAUGAAUAUAUUGAACUUAUUACAUACAAUCUUCUGUUUUCUGGUCUUUUUUGAACAUAGAAAUGUUUACUUUAGUUGUCAAACUCAUUAAAAAAAGGGGGAAGUAAAAUAAAAGUCAAUAUUCUUAUUUUACA
RNAcentral lists this long non-coding RNA (596 nucleotides) under Monodelphis domestica (gray short-tailed opossum). Its description in RNAcentral is "lncRNA (ENSMODG00000038329.1)". The record is from RNAcentral. Lineage: Eukaryota; Metazoa; Chordata; Mammalia; Didelphimorphia; Didelphidae.